This 390-nucleotide long non-coding RNA is filed under the name Salvia miltiorrhiza (redroot sage). RNAcentral's name for it is "long non-coding RNA (SMIL_LNC008967)". Lineage: Eukaryota; Viridiplantae; Streptophyta; Magnoliopsida; Lamiales; Lamiaceae. The record is from RNAcentral.
AAUAUAUUGGUUAAAAUUUUAAGUAGACAAUAAUGAUCAUUAGAUAAAAAUAGAUUUCAUCAAGAUCUUGGUCAUUCAUUUGAUGCAUCUUCAAUAAUAAAAUGAAUUCAUCUUCAUUUUAAUGCUACUAUAUUGAUUCAUUAGAGUUAUUUUAUAUAAUAUAAAUAAAGCUUUUAUUAGAGAAGAAACAAAAAAGGAAAAACUAACCAAACCCUUGAAAGCACAAGUGCCAACUAAGGGUCAAGCCUUCUCAAACCCUUUCUGACAAAAAUCAAAGGGAAAACGCCAAUAAAAGAAAAAGAAUACUCGUCUAUUACCCACAAAAAAAAAACAACUAAACACAAAAAUUGACAGCAACGAAGAGCAUCUGACAAAGCAGACCACUCCAAG